CAACAACAGACUCGGUGAAAUUGUAAUUCCGGUGAAGAUGCCGGAUACCUGCGACAGGACGGAAAGACCCCAUGGAGCUUUACUGUAGCUUGACAUUGGGUCUUGGUACUACAUGUACAGGAUAGGUGGGAGGCUUUGAAACCAGGACGCCAGUUUUGGCGGAGCCAUCCUUGGGAUACCACCCUUGUAGUACUGGGACUCUAACCAUAGGCCAUGAAUCUGGUCUUGGGACACUGUCAGGUGGGCAGUUUGACUGGGGCGGUCGCCUCCCCAAAGGUAACGGAGGCGCUCAAAGGUUCUCUCAGUACGGUCGGAAAUCGUACGUAGAGUGUAAAGGCAAAAGAGAGCUUGAUUGCAAGACAUACAGGUCGAGCAAGGAUGAAAAUCGGACUUAGUGAUCCGGUGGU
RNAcentral lists this ribosomal RNA (407 nucleotides) under Clostridioides difficile. RNAcentral's name for it is "partial 23S ribosomal RNA". It matches the Rfam family "Bacterial large subunit ribosomal RNA", at positions 2022 to 2427 of the family's 2925-position model. Lineage: Bacteria; Bacillati; Bacillota; Clostridia; Peptostreptococcales; Peptostreptococcaceae. The record is from RNAcentral.